GACGAACGCUGGCGGCGUGCCUAAUACAUGCAAGUCGAGCGAAUCAUUGGGAGCUUGCUCCCAUUGGUUAGCGGCGGACGGGUGAGUAACACGUGGGCAACCUGCCUGUAAGACUGGGAUAACUUCGGGAAACCGGAGCUAAUACCGGAUAAUUCUUUUCCUCUCAUGAGGAAAAGCUGAAAGGCGGUUUCGGCUGUCACUUACAGAUGGGCCCGCGGCGCAUUAGCUAGUUGGUGAGGUAACGGCUCACCAAGGCGACGAUGCGUAGCCGACCUGAGAGGGUGAUCGGCCACACUGGGACUGAGACACGGCGCAGACUCCUACGGGAGGCAGCAGUAGGGAAUCUUCCACAAUGGACGAAAGUCUGAUGGAGCAACGCCGCGUGAGCGAUGAAGGCCUUCGGGUCGUAAAAGCUCUGUUGUUAGGGAAGAACAAGUACCGGAGUAACUGCCGGUACCUUGACGGUACCUAACCAGAAAGCCACGGCUAACUACGUGCCAGCAGCCGCGGUAAUACGUAGGUGGCAAGCGUUGUCCAAAAUUAUUGGGCGUAAAGCGCGCGCAGGCGGUCCUUUAAGUCUGAUGUGAAAGCCCACGGCUCAACCGUGGAGGGUCAUUGGAAACUGGGGGACUUGAGUGCAGAAGAGGAAAGCGGAAUUCCACGUGUAGCGGUGAAAUGCGUAGAGAUGUGGAGGAACACCAGUGGCGAAGGCGGCUUUCUGGUCUGUAACUGACGCUGAGGCGCGAAAGCGUGGGGAGCAAACAGGAUUAGAUACCCUGGUAGUCCACGCCGUAAACGAUGAGUGCUAAGUGUUAGGGGGUUUCCGCCCCUUAGUGCUGCAGCUAACGCAUUAAGCACUCCGCCUGGGGAGUACCCCCGCAAGGCUGAAACUCAAAGGAAUUGACGGGGGCCCGCACAAGCGGUGGAGCAUGUGGUUUAAUUCGAAGCAACGCGAAGAACCUUACCAGGUCUUGACAUCCUCUGACACUCCUAAAGAUAGGACGUUCCCCUUCGGGGGACAGAGUGACAGGUGGUGCAUGGUUGUCGUCAGCUCGUGUCGUGAGAUGUUGGGUUAAGUCCCGCAACGAGCGCAACCCUUGAUCUUAGUUGCCAGCAUUCAGUUGGGCACUCU
RNAcentral lists this ribosomal RNA (1132 nucleotides) under Neobacillus soli. RNAcentral's name for it is "bacterial SSU rRNA". It matches the Rfam family "Bacterial small subunit ribosomal RNA", at positions 28 to 1141 of the family's 1533-position model. Lineage: Bacteria; Bacillati; Bacillota; Bacilli; Caryophanales; Bacillaceae. The record is from RNAcentral.